This 374-nucleotide ribosomal RNA is filed under the name uncultured bacterium. RNAcentral's name for it is "bacterial SSU rRNA". It matches the Rfam family "Bacterial small subunit ribosomal RNA", at positions 524 to 898 of the family's 1533-position model. The record is from RNAcentral.
UACGAAGGGAGCUAGCGUUGUUCGGAAUAACUGGGCGUAAAGGGUGCGUAGGUGGGCGUGUGCGUUAGAUGUGAAAUCCCCGGGCUUAACCUGGGAACUGCAUUUAAUACGGCACGUCUAGAGUGCGAGAGGGGAAAGCGGAAUGGCGAGUGGAGCAGUGAAAUGCAUUGAGAUUCGCUAGAACACCAGAGGCGAAGGCGGCUUUCUGGCUCGCUACUGACACUAAGGCACGAAAGCGUGGGGAGCAAACAGGAUUAGAUACCCUGGUAGUCCACGCUGUAAACGAUGGAUGCUAGAUGUUGGUCAGAUUGCUGAUCAGUGUCGGCGCUUACGCAAUAAGCAUCCCGCCUGGGGAGUACGAUCGCAAGAUUAAA